Molecule: long non-coding RNA, 1260 nt
Filed under: Chrysemys picta bellii (western painted turtle)
Lineage: Eukaryota; Metazoa; Chordata; Testudines; Emydidae
Description: lncRNA (ENSCPBG00000006690.1)
Source: RNAcentral
UUCUCGGGGUUCCCUUUCAUUUUGCGGCCACAACACUUGCAGACAAACAGUCCUCUGAGUGCACGCACACACGCACGCGCACACACACACACACACACACGGUCUCUCUCACACACGCGCCUCGCAGGAAGUACAGGCGGGAGGAAAUGACUCGUGAGGCCUCCUCAUUCUGCUGCCCGAGUGCUGCCCUCCCCCUCCUGCUCACACACCGUCCCAGCGCCUGCUGCCAUGAGGGUCCAAGUCUCCGUAUUCUUGUUCCUGGUCCUGGACCCAGUCCUGGUUCUGAAUCAGCAAGCUCCCACAGAUAACUCCCUGAAGGCGACGCCUUUGCUGGCUAAGACAAUCCUUGAGGAUAAGCAGGGGGCAAUCGUCAUCCCGACGCCCGAAGUGGGGCAGGACUCUGGAGUCAUGACCCCAUCUGACCCCAACUUGGAUUUGACAGAUGGAGACCAAGAUGCAGAGGUGGAAAACACAUCUAGCACAGCCACCACAGGGUCUGGAGGCUCCAGUUCCAGCAGCACGAGCACAACUGUUUCAGCCACCACAGGGUCUGGAGGCUCCAGUUCCGGCAGCACGAGCACAACCGCUUCAGGCUCCAAGAGGCCUGUUACCCACAGAGAGCCCGGGAGCUCGGCCAGAUCAGGAGCCGGCCAAAGCCAAGAGGAAAUCUUCACUUACGAUUACCACUCCCUGCGCAAGUGGGGCCUGAUAGCCGCCGCCAUUCUCUUCGUCCUGGGCAUCCUCAUCCUCACCUGUGGUAAAUACGGGAAGCUCCCCGGAUGUGGGGGCCGGAAGCGGAGGAGCGCCUAUGACAUCUCACGGCUCUGAGGCACCCCCUGCUGGGGGAUCCGUUUGGGGAUCGGACACUGCUUGGAGGGGCCGGCUCGGAGCCCCACAGCGAUGCUGCAUACCUGGGGGCUGGGCAGAACCAGCAGCACAGACCCGAGGGCUGCCAAGUGUCCCCCGCUCCCCCCUCUGUGAUCUGCCUGUCAGCAGCACCCCAGCUCUGAUCACCCCGGCCUGGCCUCUCUAGCCCCCGGCUGACUCCCCAGCCUGUCCCCCAGGCCUGGAUCCUCCAUCCCUCUCCUUUCCCCCUCCCAGCCUUGUCCCCCCAUCCCUGUCCCCUCCCCCUUCCUGGCCUGGAUUCCCCAUCCUUGUCCCCCCCUUCAGGCCUUAUCCCCCCUAAAUCCGAGUCCCCAGCCUGCACCUGGCCUGUCUUCCCCAUCCCUGUCCACCCUCCCAGUCUCUGAGCGCCGGUCG